UUCCAGACUCCUACGGGAGGCAGCAGUGGGGAAUAUUGCACAAUGGGGGAAACCCUGAUGCAGCGACGCCGCGUGAGCGAAGAAGUAUUUCGGUAUGUAAAGCUCUAUCAGCAGGGAAGAAAAUGACGGUACCUGAGUAAGAAGCUCCGGCUAAAUACGUGCCAGCAGCCGCGGUAAUACGUAUGGAGCAAGCGUUAUCCGGAUUUACUGGGUGUAAAGGGAGCGCAGGCGGCACGGCAAGCCUGAUGUGAAAGCCCGCGGCCCAACCGCGGGACUGCAUUGGGAACUACCGGGCUGGAGUGCCGGAGAGGUAGGCGGAAUUCCUAGUGUAGCGGUGAAAUGCGUAGAUAUUAGGAGGAACACCAGUGGCGAAGGCGGCCUGCUGGACGAUGACUGACGUUGAGGCUCGAAAGCGUGGGGAGCAAACAGGAUUAGAUACCCUGGUAC
Molecule: ribosomal RNA, 447 nt
Filed under: uncultured bacterium
Lineage: Bacteria
Description: bacterial SSU rRNA
Rfam family: Bacterial small subunit ribosomal RNA
Source: RNAcentral